UUCCCCAACUUCACCUAAGCAAAUGGCAGAGCCUCAGGCAUACAAAGGAGAGGAAGGGAAACAAAGUCUAUCAAGUCAUGUGCAACAAAAACUGCCGAGAAAGGCUCUUAGUCUGCAUCCAUUUCUUCUAAUGCGGUCUUGGCAGCAGCCUUGGCUUCUUCCAGGAGAUCAGUUGGUACCUUCUGAUGCUGGCGAUUUGACUCAUCACACACCCAGCUCAUUUCCAGUUCAAAGGCUUUGUCUUUCGCCUCAUCGUGUACUCCAUAGAUUAUCUUCGCAACUUCUAUGACUCCUUCCCUGCAAGUCAUUUCAGACAGCUUCAACUUCUCAACCUCGGUUUUUGCAGCCUGCCUACCCUUCCCAAUUGCAGCACCGAAGUAUCUAUGUGAAAUUCCCGAGGGUUCAACCAUGUAAAGUUGUGGACCGUCUCUAUCAUAACCACCAAGAAUGAUUCCGGAACCAAAAGGCCUCAACCACCAAUAAAGAGUGCACAGAUGAACAUAACUUGCCACCCGUUCAGCAAGUUCCUUCACAGGUAUGGGUUCACCAUAUGUUUUUUCAUAGCUGGUUGCUUCAGACUUCGCACGUGCAACAAUUUGCCGGCCAUCUGCUGCUAAGCCAGCCACAGCCAUGCCGGAAUGCCGAUGGACGGAGUGGAUCCUCCUAUUCGACCCCGCCAGCAUCAUCUUCGACGAGAUCAGCUUCUCCACGCCCAGAACGAUCCCAUCCUUGCACUUGAUCCCGAUAACAGUCCCGCUGUUGUCGACGGCCUUGGCGGCGUACUCGAUCUGGAAUACCCGGCCGUCCGGCGAGAAGGUGGUGACGGAGAGGUCGUAGCCGGUGCCGAUGCUGCUCAUGGUGGUGGCUGGAUCGGACGAG
Molecule: unclassified non-coding RNA, 879 nt
Filed under: Hevea brasiliensis (rubber tree)
Lineage: Eukaryota; Viridiplantae; Streptophyta; Magnoliopsida; Malpighiales; Euphorbiaceae
Source: RNAcentral